Molecule: non-coding RNA, 157 nt
Organism: Leptonychotes weddellii (Weddell seal)
Lineage: Eukaryota; Metazoa; Chordata; Mammalia; Carnivora; Phocidae
Source: RefSeq, a predicted model, not a curated record
GCAAAUAAUGACAUUUGCUCUCCUCUUCUCCGUUCCCGCCUGUCUCUGAGGAACAUGGUUUCUCUGCAUUUCCAGCAUGAUUCCUCUCCAUAUCUCAAGCAGUUAUACUUUUCUUUGUGGCUAUCCUCACCUGCUACUGGUUGUGGAAGCAAAUAUG